RNAcentral lists this ribosomal RNA (314 nucleotides) under uncultured bacterium. RNAcentral's name for it is "partial 16S ribosomal RNA". It matches the Rfam family "Bacterial small subunit ribosomal RNA", at positions 495 to 809 of the family's 1533-position model. The record is from RNAcentral.
GUAUAAGAGACAGCAGCCGCCACGGGAAUACAGAGGGUGCGAGCGUUAAUCGGAUUUACUGGGCGUAAAGCGUGCGUAGGCGGCUAAUUGAGUCGGAUGUGAAAUCCCCGAGCUUAACUUGGGAAUUGCAUUCGAUACUGGUUAGCUAGAGUGUGGGAGAGGAUGGUAGAAUUCCAGGUGUAGCGGUGAAAUGCGUAGAGAUCUGGAGGAAUACCGAUGGCGAAGGCAGCCAUCUGGCCUAACACUGACGCUGAGGUACGAAAGCAUGGGGAGCAAACAGGAUUAGAUACCCCCGUAGUCCCUGUCUCUUAUAA